Molecule: long non-coding RNA, 670 nt
Filed under: Gallus gallus (chicken)
Lineage: Eukaryota; Metazoa; Chordata; Aves; Galliformes; Phasianidae
Description: long non-coding RNA NONGGAT007986
Source: RNAcentral
GAAAAUGAGCCACACCGAGACAAACCGUGAGGCAGAUAAAAAUCACAUAGCCAUGCACCUGCAAAUGCAGGAAAAAAACAACCGAUUUUGUCACUUUAAAUCAAGUACUUGUUACAUCAUCAAUUAAGUUUGCCAUAAUAUGGGAUAGUAUUUUGUCAGCUGAACUGUGCUGUAGGCAGCGCAGCUACAAUUUGAAACAUACUGCAUAUAGAGCUCUCUUCCCACUGCAGGUUUAAAUGAACAGAGAAAACCUCCCCCUAAAAAUCAACAGUGCUGAAGGAAACAAACUGAAAUACCCAGAAGCCUUGGAAAUACUCAAAACUUGAUACAGAACAGGCAUCUUUUUGUUCACUCUACUUUUCAGGAGACCAAAAAAAUCAUUGCUUGCAGAAAGGAUUUCUCCAACACCUUUGAACUUUUGCCAUCGACAUGCAUCACGUCAGGAGAGUUGCAAAGCCUUGCUUUGACUGCCUGGCUGAUCACGCUGCCUUUCGUUGGUAUCAUCCCCUCAAGAACAUCUCAAAAGCUGAUGCUGAAAGUUAAAUGCUGGGAACAAAGUUGCUUUAUUUGUCUUCUUACUUGUCUUCACUUUGCAAGAAAAGGUUCAAGAGCCUUUUGGUGAUUGGAGGCUGUGGAUGGUUGUAUGCAAGGUGGAGUGAAUGGAUGGACG